This 253-nucleotide ribosomal RNA is filed under the name uncultured bacterium. Its description in RNAcentral is "partial 16S ribosomal RNA". It matches the Rfam family "Bacterial small subunit ribosomal RNA", at positions 524 to 776 of the family's 1533-position model. The record is from RNAcentral.
UACGUAGGGGGCAAGCGUUGUCCGGAAUCAUUGGGCGUAAAGAGCGUGUAGGCGGCCCGAUAAGUCCGCUGUGAAAGUCCAGGGCUCAACCCUGGAAUGCCGGUGGAUACUGUCGGGCUCGAGUCCGGAAGAGGCGAGUGGAAUUCCUGGUGUAGCGGUGAAAUGCGCAGAUAUCAGGAGGAACACCGAUGGCGAAGGCAGCUCGCUGGGACGGUACUGACGCUGAGGCGCGAAAGCGUGGGGAGCAAACAGG